This 384-nucleotide ribosomal RNA is filed under the name uncultured euryarchaeote. RNAcentral's name for it is "bacterial SSU rRNA". It matches the Rfam family "Archaeal small subunit ribosomal RNA", at positions 473 to 858 of the family's 1478-position model. The record is from RNAcentral. Lineage: Archaea; Methanobacteriati; Methanobacteriota.
AUACCGGCAGCUCAAGUGGUCGUCGCUUUUAUUGGGCCUAAAACGUCCGUAGCCUGUUUGGUAAAUCUGUGGGUAAAUCAACCAGCUUAACUGGUUGAAUUCUGCAGAGACUGCCAGACUAGGGACCGGGAGAGGUGUGGGGUACUCUAGGGGUAGGGGUAAAAUCCUGUCAUCCUUAGAGGACCACCAGUUGCGAAGGCGCCACACUAGAACGGAUCCGACGGUCAGGGACGAAGCCUAGGGGCACGAACCGGAUUAGAUACCCGGGUAGUCCUAGGUGUAAACGCUGUGAACUUGGUGUCGGGAGUCCGCAAUGGGCCCCCGGUGCCGGAGUGAAGAUGUUAAGUUCACUGCCUGGGGAGUACGUCGCAAGGCUGAAACUUA